Molecule: ribosomal RNA, 803 nt
Filed under: Polystigma fulvum
Lineage: Eukaryota; Fungi; Ascomycota; Sordariomycetes; Phyllachorales; Phyllachoraceae
Description: partial large subunit ribosomal RNA
Rfam family: Eukaryotic large subunit ribosomal RNA
Source: RNAcentral
CGGCGAGUGAAGCGGCAACAGCUCAAAUUUGAAAUCUGGCCCUAGGCCCGAGUUGUAAUUUGUAGAGGAUGCUUCGGGUGAUGGUCUCUCCGAGUCCCUUGGAACAGGGCGCCUUAGAGGGUGAGAGCCCCGUACGGUUGGAACCGGACCCCAUGUGAAGCUCCUUCGACGAGUCGAGUAGUUUGGGAAUGCUGCUCUAAAUGGGAGGUAAAUUUCUUCUAAAGCUAAAUAUUGGCCAGAGACCGAUAGCGCACAAGUAGAGUGAUCGAAAGAUGAAAAGCACUUUGAAAAGAGGGUUAAAUAGCACGUGAAAUUGUUGAAAGGGAAGGACUUAUGACCAGACUUUUUCUACGGUGAUCAUCCGGUGUUCUCACCGGUGCACUCUCCGUGGUCAAGGCCAGCAUCGGCUUUGGUGGGGGGAUAAAGGCUUCGGGAAUGUGGCUCCCUCGGGAGUGUUAUAGACCGUUGCAUAAUAUCCUCGCCGGGGCCGAGGUUCGCGCUUCUGCAAGGAUGCUGGCGUAAUGGUCAUCAGUCACCCGUCUUGAAACACGGACCAAGGAGUCGAACAUUUGUGCGAGUGUUUGGGUGUCAAACCCUCACGCGUAAUGAAAGUGAACGGAGGUGAGAGCCUGAAAGGGUGCAUCAUCGACCGAUCCUGAAGUCUUCGGAUGGAUUUGAGUAAGAGCAUAACUGUUCGGACCCGAAAGAUGGUGAACUAUGCGUGGAUAGGGUGAAGCCAGAGGAAACUCUGGUGGAGGCUCGCAGCGGUUCUGACGUGCAAAUCGAUCGUCAAAUCUGCGCAU